GAUGAACGCUAGCGGCAGGCCUAAUACAUGCAAGUCGAACGGUGUCUUCGGACAUAGUGGCGCACGGGUGCGUAACACGUAUGCAACCUACCUUACAUUGGGGGAUAGCCUUUCGAAAGGGAGAUUAAUACCGCAUAAGACAGUAGUCUGGCAUCAGACAGCUGUUAAAGAUUUAUCGAUGUAAGCUGGGCAUGCGACCAAUUAGUUAGUUGGCGAGGUAAUGGCUCACCAAGACUAUGAUUGGUAGGGGAACUGAGAGGUCAAUCCCCCACACUGGCACUGAGAUACGGGCCAGACUCCUACGGGAGGCAGCAGUAGGGAAUAUUGGGCAAUGGACGCAAGUCUGACCCAGCCAUGCCGCGUGCAGGAAGAAGGCGUUAUGCGUUGUAAACUGCUUUUAUACAGGAAGAAACGACUCUUGCGAGAGGCAUUGACGGUACUGUAUGAAUAAGCACCGGCUAACUCCGUGCCAGCAGCCGCGGUAAUACGGAGGGUGCAAGCGUUGUCCGGAUUUAUUGGGUUUAAAGGGUGCGCAGGUGGUUUAUUAAGUCAGUGGUGAAAGACGGUCGCUCAACGAUUGCAGUGCCAUUGAAACUGGUAGACUUGAGUAAAGUAGAGGUGGGCGGAAUUGAUAGUGUAGCGGUGAAAUGCAUAGAUAUUAUCAAGAACUCCAAUUGCGUAGGCAGCUCACUUGGCUUUUACUGACACUCAUGCACGAAAGUGUGGGUAUCAAACAGGAUUAGAUACCCUGGUAGUCCACACUGUAAACGAUGAUAACUAGGUGUCGGCCGAAUCUGGUCGGUGCCACAGCGAAAGCGUUAAGUUAUCCACCUGGGGAGUACGCCGGCAACGGUG
Molecule: ribosomal RNA, 855 nt
Filed under: uncultured bacterium
Lineage: Bacteria
Description: bacterial SSU rRNA
Rfam family: Bacterial small subunit ribosomal RNA
Source: RNAcentral